GGACCCUACUGCUAUCGGGGUGGGACUAAGACAUGCGAGUCGUGCGUCUCUAAGCUAUGGUAGAGACGCGGCGUACGGCUCAGUAACACGUGGCUAACCUACCCUUGGGACGGAGACAACCCCGGGAAACUGGGGCUAAUACCCGAUAGGUGAAGAGGCCUGGAAUGGUUCUUCACCGAAAAGACGUUGAAACCAUGCUUUUCAACGUUGCCUAAGGAUGGGGCCGCGUCCGAUCAGGUUGUUGGUGGGGUAACGGCUCACCAAGCCUAUAACCGGUACGGGCCGUGAGAGCGGGAGCCCGGAGAUGGGCACUGAGACAAGGGCCCAGGCCCUACGGGGCGCAGCAGUCGCGAAAACUCCGCAAUGCGCGAAAGCGUGACGGGGCUACCCCGAGUGUCGUCCGCUGAGGAUGACUUUUCCCCGGUGUAAGGAGCCGGGGGAAUAAGGAGAGGGCAAGUCUGGUGUCAGCCGCCGCGGUAAUACCAGCUCUCCGAGUGGUAGGGACGAUUAUUGGGCUUAAAGCGUCCGUAGCCGGCCCGGCAAGUCUUCCGUUAAAUCCAGCGACCUAAUCGUUGGGCUGCAGGAGAUACUGUUGGGCUAGGGGGCGGGAGAGGCCGACGGUAUUCCCGGGGUAGGGGUGAAAUCCUAUAAUCCCGGGAGGACCACCAGUGGCGAAGGCUGUCGGCUAGAACGCGCUCGACGGUGAGGGACGAAAGCUGGGGGAGCGAACCGGAUUAGAUACCCGGGUAGUCCCAGCUGUAAACGAUGCGGGCUAGGUGUUGGGGUGGCUACGAGCCACUUCAGUGCCGCAGGGAAGCCAUUAAGCCCGCCGCCUGGGGAGUACGGCCGCAAGGCUGAAACUUAA
Molecule: ribosomal RNA, 865 nt
Filed under: uncultured archaeon
Lineage: Archaea
Description: bacterial SSU rRNA
Rfam family: Archaeal small subunit ribosomal RNA
Source: RNAcentral